Molecule: non-coding RNA, 264 nt
Organism: Clostridium chauvoei JF4335
Lineage: Bacteria; Bacillati; Bacillota; Clostridia; Eubacteriales; Clostridiaceae
Source: Rfam
CCGUGCUAGAUGGGGAGUUAGCGGUGCCCUGUAACCUGCAAUCCGCUAUAGCAGGAUUGAAUUCCUGGCAUAGGCUUUAAUUUGUAGGGUCUGCCCUAUGUAAGUGGUGUUGAUGGUCGGGUCCCAUGCGACGUAAGUGCAUGAACCUCGUCAGGUCUGGAAGGAAGCAGCGAUAAGUGAUUACUGCGUGUGACAUGGAUAAAUCUUACCAGAGCUAACUGCAUAGGUAACGCCUACAGAUUACUGCCAAAGCCAGGUGCGCGG